Molecule: long non-coding RNA, 2958 nt
Organism: Dermacentor silvarum
Lineage: Eukaryota; Metazoa; Arthropoda; Arachnida; Ixodida; Ixodidae
Exons: 2
Source: RefSeq, a predicted model, not a curated record
AACUAUUUUCUUUUGUUGUGUGUGCGUUUUUUAGAUAGCGAAAGCACAUUCCGGGUUUGUAGCACUCCUUGAAACCCUUAAAUUUCAUGGUGAGCUGAAAAUUCUUUUGAUUUUGUAUUUGGCUAAGCUUGAGGAGUGUAUCCAGACAUCUGGCCUCAAAGUCUGCACAGUUCAGUGUGGUAAACAUCUACCUUCCUUGCGCGUGUGCAACAAAAGAAAUGUUCCGUGUGUAUUUCAUACAUAGAAGGCAAUGCUACGAAGGUUAGUGACUUCUCUCGCUGUUGGCACCUGCGAGCAAGUAGUCGUGCAUCAUGUACGUAAAGAAGAUACUGGGUAUGUGCGGUGCAUUUAAAAAGUAAAAUUAAGUUUCAUUCUUCUACAUCGCAAAACAUAGAUGUAUUUAUUAUAUGAAAAGCAAUCUAAACCUAUUACUACCAUAUGAGCAGAGUACCAUGUUUGUGUCGAGCAGCCAUAGCGCAUCACUUGCACCAUGAAUAAAGCAUAGUGCAUCGCCUACUAGAAGCGGAAAUAUGCACAAGUAUGGUGACUUUUGUCCAGCAGUAAUAGUUAGAAUUGAAUGUAGGAUGUUAUUUCGUCGGAAAAGUGUGCGUGGAAUGAGACCUCCAUGGCCGCAGUGUUGCCUGCUAUAUAUGAAAUAGAGCAUAAGAUUCAAGCUGUCAAACAUGGGUGUCGCUUUGCUCUUAACCCCACAAAGCCCGAACACCAUCCCGUCUUAAAGAAAGUUAAAGGGCCCCUAAACCACCUCAGAUAUUUUUUGAACAUUUUAAGUAAACACACGCAUCGAGUUCAGAAUGCCGUCACGAUCAACGAUGCCAAACGCUGCAGUGCUACGCGCCGCGGGAGCGCCACAAAAUCGCAAAAACAAUGCCGUCCUCCUCCCCCUCGCCUUUCCGGUAUCCCCAGCGGUCGUCAUGAUGUCAGCAGGGGGGAAUCUGGUGAUGUCAACGGUGGAAACAAUGUCCAUUGGUCAAACAAGAACCUACGACUUCCGGUUUGUCUGAUAGCAGGUACGCGCGCUCCCUGCUCGUCCUUGCCGUGUUGCUCGCUUCUGCGCGCUUGCGCAUCGGUAAUUGCAGCCCGCAACGCAAGUGCCAAAUCGCUCGUGUUCCAACACAGUCAUGCUUAGCGGUCUGAUGUGCUGGGCUUUGCGGGGUUCAAGUGCUUUGUCAGGGCCUUCAAAGUCUGAAAAGCCUCGAUUUUUUUUUCCCCCAAGAAAGUUGCUGCAGGUGCAUGUUCAGUCCAAGCAGUGAUGAAAGCAGUGUCUGUCUGUUAGGCAUGCCAGCAAGUACCAGAGCCAGAAAUGGCAGAACCCACUGGUCGGGCAUACCUGUGAUGUACACCUUGCUUCUAGCUGUCUGAUGGCUUGGAAUGAACAUUGCCCUUGGUAGUCUUGUAUAUUUACACUUAAAGGAACCAGGCCACAUAGCAAACUUAGUUCAAUAAUAGAGAGUUUUAGAUUAAGGGACUCGAGUGGCUUGCAUAUGUAAAAAGUAGGUGCCACGGUACUGCACAUGCGCAGACCCAAGAUGUAGGGGUCUGCACAUGUGCAGUACCGUGGUCCUUAGUGUUUAGCGCAAGAAAGCUGCUCGAGUCCCCUAAUCUAAAACUCUCGAAUAGCAGAGAUAGAAAUGGUUGAAACUGGUGCAACCCCAUGAUUUCAGGAGGCGAGCGUCACCGCCAACAUACUCGCGCGCGAGCUGUUACGUUUGUCUUGCUUCAUGCUGUGCACGAGAACACCUGACUAGCGCUAUAAGUCAGUGCUACACGAACACUGAGGCAGACGCAAGCAGAUCUGCAUGACAUGGGAACAAGCUGGUGAAACGGAAGUGUAUCUCUUGCUAUGGUACGAAGGAAAACAAAUACACACAGUCGGUUUGUAGUUUUUUUUUUUUUUUUUUUAACUUUAAUUCGUCUAUUGAAGCAACAGAUCAAAGAAAUAACUGCUGUUGCCUUGAAUAACUCUGUAGCGUUUCACUGAGUGAUGUCUCAAUCUCAACACUGCGGAUUAGGUGCGCUUGAUGCCGGAAUUGAUUAUUGAUAGAUUGGCUAUCGAUUUGGAGUGUGGCGCCCGCGAGGACGAUGCAUGACAUUUGGUUUGAAAUUUCAGCUGUUUUCACAACGUGUAGCAGUGCAAUAUGUCGCAGGAAUGAUUGUUAGUGUGCAUUGUAUGCACUGCGCUUGUCAGCUCAAAAUGUCCAGACCUGGUGAAGGGGCCCUUUCAGGAUCAGUACAUGAAAUCUAGCCACAGCGAAAAAUUUGGUCCGAGCUGCGAUGGGUACGACAGCAUUAGUCACGGAUCUCGCUGCUCCGUACGUUCUUGAACUUGCAAUAUUGUCUCCUGCAAGACUUUAGGCGGUUCUUGAAAAUCAUUGCAAUGUGAUCAAGAUUACGGUCUUUCAACAAAGCUGACUGAUUUGCAAGAACUGUGAUGUAUUGGAAGAUACAUCACAGUUCUCGGUGAACUCGGUGCGUGUGUUUACUUGAAAUGUUAACAAAAUAUCAGGUGGUUUAGGGGCCCUUUAAAGCCCGAAUUUAGGGAUUUUUCUAGUCUUUACAAUCGGCAAGCAAUGGUCUCCAUUUGGAAAACAUUCUAUUUAAACAAGUAAAAUGACUUGCAGGAAAAUGUAAUGGUAAAGAGGGCUGUUAACAAAUCAUGAACUCAUUUCUACAAAUCCUUGUCAGGCAUUAAGGGAGAUGUGGGUUCUAAAAUUAGUUUUGUUAAUUUUUGUAUGAAUUGGAUGAUAUUAAACAGUAUUGUUCGGUUUGUGCUGAUUGCAAAUAUCUAAUCAGAUUUGGUAUCUCUGCAUUGAUACAAAAUUUUUAAUACAGAAAUUCGGUCAAUUUCUUUUGGGGCUUUUCAAAAACUUAACUUUGUCAAAAACAAAAGCAGUCUAUGGCAAGAAUGUCAAAAUUGCUCUAGUCGGUGAUGCUAUUUUU